AAGAAAAUUGCGUUUUACAUACGGAUUAUUAUAUACGGAUUUUAAUUCGUAUGUAUUAAACAUGUUACAUACGGAUAUUACAUACGGAUGUAUUACAUACGGAUUUUCCGUAAGUAAUGGAAAAAAAAAUUACAUAUGGAUUAUCUGUAUAUAAAAUCCGUAUAUAACUUGGCGCGUUUGGGCGGGAACAAUUCCAAAGAUGUUAUAUAUGGAUUUUAAUUAAUUAAUAAUUUAAAAAACUUUAGAAAAAACCGCGAGCUUCUUAUAACUUUGAAAAAGAAAACCCUAAUGAAUCCCUCACUCACUCACUGACUCUUCCUUCUUCCUUCAUUUGGGAUAAAAGAAAAGCCCACAAACCCUUUCUUCUUCCUUUUCUCGGAUAGAAGAAACCCUCACAUGUUUUGGUUUCCCAUCUCACAAUCUUGCUUCUUUCUUCUUCCUUGCCUCCUUGUAGCCACGCGUUCUUCAUUUCCCACGUCUUCAUUCAAACNGCAUCACCAGCCACGUCCAUUUUCUCUCUCGCGCAUUAGAGAAAGCAUCUUCGUUCUCACGUUCUUCUUCCGUGAGAGCAUUUUCUUCGCGAGAGCAUUUUCUUCUCGAGCGCUCACCAUCAACCGUAAGCUUCCUUUCUCUUCAGAGAUUCACCAUCUUAUUUCAUUUUUCUUCCUUGCCUCAGCCUACUCAACAUCAAAUUUNCUCUUCCACUGAUUAUUUUCAUCUCCUUCUAGGGUUUCGUCAUCCUUUCACCAUUUUCUUGAAGUUUCACCGAUUAAAUCCUCUUUUACUCCGUUUAAAAGCUUUUCCUCCGAUUGAAAACUCUUUUAUCACCAUUAUUCAAUCUCGUUUUUGAACCAAUUAUUCCUUCUGUCCAGAUUAGGGUUCCUACUCUAUUUAGGGUUUCUAUGAGUCCUAUCUCUGAUUUGGUUUGUUCUCCUUCAAAUUCUCUCUUCUAUUUAUGCCUAGGNUUAGUGCGAAGAAGACAUGAGGCCACGAGAUCGCUUACAAUGCGGAGAAGACACGAUGCCAAUUUUUAUCAAUUUUUUUCACCUUCUCUGCAUAAAGAAAUUUCUUUUCCUGCUUUAAGAAUAUUGUUUAGUAGGAUCGUGGAACUAAGGAAAUUCACAUGAUAUCCAAUUUCUUUUGCAGGUUGGUGAGAGGGGGAUAGAAAUAAAGGAUUGCAAUACCUCGUGCCAUAGUUAAGAAUCCAUCAAUCCUUUUACUAGAUGAAGAAACCAAUGCUCUGGAUGUGUUAGUUAGUUGUAUGAACAUUGAAGAAUAUUGAGUCAUCAAUGUUUUUAUCAUAUCAAUCAGGGUUCAUUAUCUACGUAAAGUGAUUUAUGUGCUUUAAGUUUGAAAUGUGGUUAAAUUCGAGACAUUAUUUGCAUCUAUGUAGAAUAUAAACCUGUUGCGAUGACUGAAGCAUCUUUCUUGUUUUUAAUUUUUUCCCCUUUUAUUUCUUUGUGUGUCCAUUUGUGUGAUUUCUUCAUGAUGUUGGUUUGUAUUGGUUGUAUAUGCGUGUUUAGGAGUUGAUGAAUUUGCAGAAUUGUAAAAGACCUAAAUAUGUUUAGUAGAAGUCUUGGGAGGUAUUUAUAGAACUUGUUGAGAUGAAAUCAAUCAUUUUAAUUAUAUGAAUUUUAAUGUGUCUAUUCAGACCCUAAUGCUGAAGUUAUAGCCUUGUCCCCUAAGAGUCUUCUGGCCACCAAUAAGUUCAUUUGUGAUUUCAAAGAGAGCAAAACCUGCAACACCAUAGAAGAGGGCAGAAUUUUUCGUGGAAGCUGAAGCAGAGAACAAGCAAAGAGGGG
This 1802-nucleotide long non-coding RNA is filed under the name Vigna radiata. RNAcentral's name for it is "long non-coding RNA (VRAD_LNC006522)". The record is from RNAcentral. Lineage: Eukaryota; Viridiplantae; Streptophyta; Magnoliopsida; Fabales; Fabaceae.